UACGUAGGGUGCGAGCGUUAAUCGGCAUUACUGGGCGUAAAGCGUGCGUAGGCGGUUCGCUGUGUCCGAUGUGAAAGCCCCGGGCUUAACCUGGGAAUGGCAUUGGAAACUGGCGGGCUUGAGUGCGGCAGAGGGGGGUGGAAUUCCGCGUGUAGCAGUGAAAUGCGUAGAGAUGCGGAGGAACACCGAUGGCGAAGGCAGCCCCCUGGGUCGACACUGACGCUCAGGCACGAAAGCGUGGGGAGCAAACAGG
This 253-nucleotide ribosomal RNA is filed under the name uncultured bacterium. RNAcentral's name for it is "partial 16S ribosomal RNA". It matches the Rfam family "Bacterial small subunit ribosomal RNA", at positions 524 to 776 of the family's 1533-position model. The record is from RNAcentral.